CCUACGGGAGGCAGCAGUGGGGAAUUUUGGACAAUGGGCGAAAGCCUGAUCCAGCAAUGCCGCGUGAGUGAAGAAGGCCUUCGGGUUGUAAAGCUCUUUUGUCAGGGAAGAAACGGUGAGAGCUAAUAUCUUUUGCUAAUGACGGUACCUGAAGAAUAAGCACCGGCUAACUACGUGCCAGCAGCCGCGGUAAUACGUAGGGUGCAAGCGUUAAUCGGAAUUACUGGGCGUAAAGCGUGCGUAGGCGGUUUUGUAAGUCUGAUGUGAAAUCCCCGGGCUCAACCUGGGAAUUGCAUUGGAGACUGCAAGGCUAGAAUCUGGCAGAGGGGGGUAGAAUUCCACGUGUAGCAGUGAAAUGCGUAGAUAUGUGGAGGAACACCGAUGGCGAAGGCAGCCCCCUGGGUCAAGAUUGACGCUCAUGCACGAAAGCGUGGGGAGCAAACAGGAUUAGAUACCCUGGUAGUCCACGCCCUAAACGAUGUCUACUAGUUGUCGGGUCUUAAUUGACUUGGUAACGCAGCUAACGCGUGAAGUAGACCGCCUGGGGAGUACGGUCGCAAGAUUAAAACUUAAGGAAUUGACGG
This 584-nucleotide ribosomal RNA is filed under the name uncultured bacterium. RNAcentral describes it as "bacterial SSU rRNA". It matches the Rfam family "Bacterial small subunit ribosomal RNA", at positions 338 to 916 of the family's 1533-position model. The record is from RNAcentral.